UCUGCCCAUCAGACGGGGACAACGAUUGGAAACGAUCGCUAAUACCGGAUAGGACGAAAGUUUAAAGAUGCUUCUGGCAUCACUGAUGGAUGAGCCUGCGGCGCAUUAGCUAGUUGGUGGGGUAAAGGCCUACCAAGGCGACGAUGCGUAGCCGACCUGAGAGGGUGAACGGCCACACUGGGACUGAGACACGGCCCAGACUCCUACGGGAGGCAGCAGUAGGGAAUCUUCGGCAAUGGGCGAAAGCCUGACCGAGCAACGCCGCGUGAAUGAAGAAGGCCUUCGGGUUGUAAAAUUCUGUUAUAAGGGAAGAAAGGUGAUAGGAGGAAAUGACUAUCAAUUGACGGUACCUUAUGAGAAAGCCACGGCUAACUACGUGCCAGCAGCCGCGGUAAUACGUAGGUGGCAAGCGUUAUCCGGAAUUAUUGGGCGUAAAGAGCGCGCAGGUGGUUAAUUAAGUCUGAUGUGAAAGCCCACGGCUUAACCGUGGAGGGUCAUUGGAAACUGGUUGACUUGAGUGCAGAAGAGGGAAGUGGAAUUCCAUGUGUAGCGGUGAAAUGCGUA
This 564-nucleotide ribosomal RNA is filed under the name uncultured bacterium. RNAcentral describes it as "bacterial SSU rRNA". It matches the Rfam family "Bacterial small subunit ribosomal RNA", at positions 125 to 692 of the family's 1533-position model. The record is from RNAcentral.